Molecule: small RNA, 755 nt
Filed under: Histoplasma capsulatum
Lineage: Eukaryota; Fungi; Ascomycota; Eurotiomycetes; Onygenales; Ajellomycetaceae
Also listed under: 1 other name
Description: hypothetical RNA
Source: RNAcentral
AGCAGCUAGUGAUAAUGAUGGUAAUGGGAAACGUACAAAAUCAGAACAUGUACCCAGGGUGUCUAAUCCAAGCUCAAAGUUGGUCUCUGACCGAAGGGCGCUGGUUCCGAAGUGGAAUCUACCAACGGAGGUGAAUGUGGAUGAUGGUGAUGAUGAUACGUCGGCGGCGGAUUUUGGGAUGGAAACAUAUUACAAUGUUCUCUGGCGGAAACCUACUGCCAAAAAGCAUAAAACGUGGGAUGGUGAUGGAAUCCUAACUGUCAGUGGUGGUUAUGCGUCUCUGCAGGACAUAUCUGGGCGGGAUUUUGGGAGAAUCAUGUUCAAUUCUCCUCUCCUGCCCGGUUCGACAUUAUCGGUUGGCGGAAAAGAGGUUGAAGUUGACUCUGUCUUGUCGAAGAAGGAGUUCCUCUCUGGUCGGCCACUUUUAGGUGCUGCCAAACCCUCACUUGCGACCAUACCUAUCGACAAACCCAAUGAAAAUGCCGGUGAUCCAGUUCGUGUGUCCCGCAUUUCAUCUGCUAUAUCGACGAAUGGCACCAUUAGACUUCCCCCUAAAGCCAAAAUCACACGAGAGAACAGAGACAACGAAGGAGAAAAGAGACUCCUUAACAUAGCUGCGCCUAGAAGCUUUGCGGCGAAGAGUGUCUUCAAAAAUCCUCUCAAAGAUAGCACUGUACUAGUGCAGAAGCCUGAUGGCAGUCCCAUUCCACGACAUGAUCCCACGGCUCCUGGCGCGGUCAUCAUGAAACGGCCAA